This 497-nucleotide ribosomal RNA is filed under the name uncultured bacterium. Its description in RNAcentral is "partial 16S ribosomal RNA". It matches the Rfam family "Bacterial small subunit ribosomal RNA", at positions 28 to 507 of the family's 1533-position model. The record is from RNAcentral.
GAUGAACGCUGGCGGCGUGCCUAAUACAUGCAAGUCGAGCGAACAGACGAGGAGCUUGCUCCUCUGACGUUAGCGGCGGACGGGUGAGUAACACGUGGAUAACCUACCUAUAAGACUGGGAUAACUUCGGGAAACCGGAGCUAAUACCGGAUAAUAUAUUGAACCGCAUGGUUCAAUAGUGAAAGACGGUUUUGCUGUCACUUAUAGAUGGAUCCGCGCCGCAUUAGCUAGUUGGUAAGGUAACGGCUUACCAAGGCAACGAUGCGUGGCCGACGUGUGAGGGGGAUCGGCCACACUGGAACUGAGACACGGUCCAGACGCCUACGGGAGGCAGCAGUAGGGAAUCUUCCGCAAUGGGCGAAAGCCUGACGGAGCAACGCCGCGUGAGUGAUGAAGGUCUUCGGAUCGUAAAACUCUGUUAUUAGGGAAGAACAAAUGUGUAAGUAAAUAUGCACGUCUUGACGGUACCUAAUCAGAAAGCCACGGCUAACUACGUG